GAGUUUGAUCGUGGCUCAGGACGAACGCUGGCGGCGUGCUUAACACAUGCAAGUCGAACGGGGCACCCUUGAAGGAGUUUUCGGACAACGGAUGGGAAUGCUUAGUGGCGGACUGGUGAGUAACGCGUGAGGAACCUGCCUUCCAGAGGGGGACAACAGUUGGAAACGACUGCUAAUACCGCAUGACGCAUUGGUGUCGCAUGGCACUGAUGUCAAAGAUUUAUCGCUGGAAGAUGGCCUCGCGUCUGAUUAGCUAGUUGGUGAGGUAACGGCCCACCAAGGCGACGAUCAGUAGCCGGACUGAGAGGUUGGCCGGCCACAUUGGGACUGAGAUACGGCCCAGACUCCUACGGGAGGCAGCAGUGGGGAAUAUUGGGCAAUGGACGCAAGUCUGACCCAGCAACGCCGCGUGAAGGAAGAAGGCUUUCGGUUGUAACUUCUUUAGGGGAAGAGCAGAAGACGGUACCCUUGAAUAAGCCACGGCUACUACGUGCCAGCA
This 499-nucleotide ribosomal RNA is filed under the name uncultured microorganism. RNAcentral describes it as "bacterial SSU rRNA". It matches the Rfam family "Bacterial small subunit ribosomal RNA", at positions 9 to 513 of the family's 1533-position model. The record is from RNAcentral.